This 328-nucleotide ribosomal RNA is filed under the name uncultured eukaryote. RNAcentral's name for it is "partial 18S ribosomal RNA". It matches the Rfam family "Eukaryotic small subunit ribosomal RNA", at positions 1470 to 1796 of the family's 1831-position model. The record is from RNAcentral.
CCCUUAGAUGUUCUGGGCUGCACGCGCGCUACACUGAUGAAGGCAGCGAGUAAUGACCUUGGUCGAUAGGCCUGGGUAAUCUUGUGAAACUUCAUCGUGCUGGGGAUAGAUUAUUGCAAUUAUUAAUCUUCAACGAGGAAUUCCUAGUAAGUGCAAGUCAUCAACUUGUGCUGACUACGUCCCUGCCCUUUGUACACACCGCCCGUCGCUACUACCGAUUGAAUGGCUUAGUGAGGCCUCCGGAUGACGGCAGAACGGCUGGCAACAGCUGAUCAGCUGACAGAAGUUGGACAAACUUGGUCAUUUAGAGGAAGUAAAAGUCGUAACA